GAUCAUGGCUCAGGAUGAACGCUAGCGACAGGCCUAACACAUGCAAGUCGAGGAGCAGCGGAGAGGUAGCAAUACCUUUGCCGGCGACCGGCGCACGGGUGAGUAACACGUAUGCAAUCCACCUGUAACAGGGGGAUAACCCGGAGAAAUCCGGGCUAAUACCCCAUAAUAUGGGCGCUCCGCAUGGAGAGCCCAUUAAAGAGAGCAAUUUUGGUUACAGACGAGCAUGCGCU
This 233-nucleotide ribosomal RNA is filed under the name uncultured bacterium. Its description in RNAcentral is "partial 16S ribosomal RNA". It matches the Rfam family "Bacterial small subunit ribosomal RNA", at positions 15 to 237 of the family's 1533-position model. The record is from RNAcentral.